This 313-nucleotide unclassified non-coding RNA is filed under the name Hevea brasiliensis (rubber tree). The record is from RNAcentral. Lineage: Eukaryota; Viridiplantae; Streptophyta; Magnoliopsida; Malpighiales; Euphorbiaceae.
UGUUCUUCCGCGUCCCAGUGGGCAGGGACUUGCGGAGCCGACGCGCGGGGGUUCCAGGGGUUGGCAAAGUGCCAGGAUGCGGCGAAGGAUGGAGCGAGGUGGGGUCGAGCGCAGGCGUAGACGGCGAAGGCAUAGUGUACAGGUCGUCGAAGCUCGUCGAGGCGGGCGCGACAGAAUGACUCUUGGUCGCAUCGAGCAUGCCGUAACCGCCACCGAACAGUACUCCGCCGUCCAUGUCGGGGAAGGUGUCGGCAUCGAAGAUGGCGGGGCUCGUAAGCAAGCCGGCAGACAUGUCAGCUGAACCGAGCGCAGG